This 771-nucleotide ribosomal RNA is filed under the name Virgibacillus halodenitrificans. RNAcentral's name for it is "bacterial SSU rRNA". It matches the Rfam family "Bacterial small subunit ribosomal RNA", at positions 59 to 809 of the family's 1533-position model. The record is from RNAcentral. Lineage: Bacteria; Bacillati; Bacillota; Bacilli; Caryophanales; Bacillaceae.
GAAGCAAACGGAAUCCUUCGGGAGGAAGUUUGUGGAACGAGCGGCGGACGGGUGAGUAACACGUGGGCAACCUACCUGUAAGAUUGGGAUAACCCCGGGAAACCGGGGCUAAUACCAGAUAAUACUUACCAUCUCAUGGUGGUAAGUUGAAAGGCGGCUUUUAGCUGUCACUUACAGAUGGGCCCGCGGCGCAUUAGCUAGUUGGUGAGGUAACGGCUCACCAAGGCAACGAUGCGUAGCCGACCUGAGAGGGUGAUCGGCCACACUGGGACUGAGACACGGCCCAGACUCCUACGGGAGGCAGCAGUAGGGAAUCUUCCGCAAUGGACGAAAGUCUGACGGAGCAACGCCGCGUGAGUGAUGAAGGUUUUCGGAUCGUAAAACUCUGUUGUUAGGGAAGAACAAGUACCGUUCGAAUAGGGCGGUACCAUGACGGUACCUAACCAGAAAGCCCCGGCUAACUACGUGCCAGCAGCCGCGGUAAUACGUAGGGGGCAAGCGUUGUCCGGAAUUAUUGGGCGUAAAGCGCUCGCAGGCGGUCUUUUAAGUCUGAUGUGAAAGCCCACGGCUCAACCGUGGAGGGUCAUUGGAAACUGGAGGACUUGAGUACAGAAGAGGAGAGUGGAAUUCCACGUGUAGCGGUGAAAUGCGUAGAGAUGUGGAGGAACACCAGUGGCGAAGGCGACUCUCUGGUCUGUAACUGACGCUGAGGAGCGAAAGCGUGGGGGAGCAAACAGGAUUAGAUACCCUGGUAGUCCACGCCGUAAACGA